CCUACGAGGGGCUGCAGUGAGGAAUAUUGGUCAAUGGGCUUACGCCUGAACCAGCCAAGUCGCGUGAGGGAAGACUGCCCUAUGGGUUGUAAACCUCUUUUGUCAGGGCGCAAUUGGCGCUACGUGUAGCGUUAUCGAGAGUACCUGAAGAAAAAGCAUCGGCUAACUCCGUGCCAGCAGCCGCGGUAAUACGGAGGAUGCGAGCGUUCUCCGGAUUUAUUGGGUUUAAAGGGUGCGUAGGCGGAAUGCCAAGUCAGCGGUAAAAUCGCGGGGCUCAACCUCGCUCCGCCGUUUAAACUGGCGUUGUUGAGUGGGCGAGAAGUAUGCGGAAUGCGUGGUGUAGCGGUGAAGUGCAUAGAUAUCACGAAGAGCUCCGGUUGCGAAGGCAGCUUACUAGACUGCCACUGAGAUUGAUGCUCGAGAGUGUGGGUAUCAAACAGGAUUAGAUACCCUGGUAGUC
Molecule: ribosomal RNA, 460 nt
Filed under: uncultured bacterium
Lineage: Bacteria
Description: partial 16S ribosomal RNA
Rfam family: Bacterial small subunit ribosomal RNA
Source: RNAcentral